AAAUUGAAGAGUUUGAUCAUGGCUCAGAUUGAACGCUGGCGGCAGGCCUAACACAUGCAAGUCGAGCGGUAGCACAGAGAGCUUGCUCUCGGGUGACGAGCGGCGGACGGGUGAGUAAUGUCUGGGAAACUGCCUGAUGGAGGGGGAUAACUACUGGAAACGGUAGCUAAUACCGCAUAACGUCGCAAGACCAAAGUGGGGGACCUUCGGGCCUCAUGCCAUCAGAUGUGCCCAGAUGGGAUUAGCUAGUAGGUGGGGUAACGGCUCACCUAGGCGACGAUCCCUAGCUGGUCUGAGAGGAUGACCAGCCACACUGGAACUGAGACACGGUCCAGACUCCUACGGGAGGCAGCAGUGGGGAAUAUUGCACAAUGGGCGCAAGCCUGAUGCAGCCAUGCCGCGUGUGUGAAGAAGGCCUUCGGGUUGUAAAGCACUUUCAGCGGGGAGGAAGGCGGUGAGGUUAAUAACCUCAGCGAUUGACGUUACCCGCAGAAGAAGCACCGGCUAACUCCGUGCCAGCAGCCGCGGUAAUACGGAGGGUGCAAGCGUUAAUCGGAAUUACUGGGCGUAAAGCGCACGCAGGCGGUCUGUCAAGUCGGAUGUGAAAUCCCCGGGCUCAACCUGGGAACUGCAUUCGAAACUGGCAGGCUAGAGUCUUGUAGAGGGGGGUAGAAUUCCAGGUGUAGCGGUGAAAUGCGUAGAGAUCUGGAGGAAUACCGGUGGCGAAGGCGGCCCCCUGGACAAAGACUGACGCUCAGGUGCGAAAGCGUGGGGAGCAAACAGGAUUAGAUACCCUGGUAGUCCACGCCGUAAACGAUGUCGAUUUGGAGGUUGUGCCCUUGAGGCGUGGCUUCCGGAGCUAACGCGUUAAAUCGACCGCCUGGGGAGUACGGCCGCAAGGUUAAAACUCAAAUGAAUUGACGGGGGCCCGCACAAGCGGUGGAGCAUGUGGUUUAAUUCGAUGCAACGCGAAGAACCUUACCUGGUCUUGACAUCCACAGAACUUUCCAGAGAUGGAUUGGUGCCUUCGGGAACUGUGAGACAGGUGCUGCAUGGCUGUCGUCAGCUCGUGUUGUGAAAUGUUGGGUUAAGUCCCGCAACGAGCGCAACCCUUAUCCUUUGUUGCCAGCGGUCCGGCCGGGAACUCAAAGGAGACUGCCAGUGAUAAACUGGAGGAAGGUGGGGAUGACGUCAAGUCAUCAUGGCCCUUACGACCAGGGCUACACACGUGCUACAAUGGCAUAUACAAAGAGAAGCGACCUCGCGAGAGCAAGCGGACCUCAUAAAGUAUGUCGUAGUCCGGAUUGGAGUCUGCAACUCGACUCCAUGAAGUCGGAAUCGCUAGUAAUCGUAGAUCAGAAUGCUACGGUGAAUACGUUCCCGGGCCUUGUACACACCGCCCGUCACACCAUGGGAGUGGGUUGCAAAAGAAGUAGGUAGCUUAACCUUCGGGAGGGCGCUUACCACUUUGUGAUUCAUGACUGGGGUGAAGUCGUAACAAGGUAACCGUAGGGGAACCUGCGGUUGGAUCACCUCCUUA
This 1540-nucleotide ribosomal RNA is filed under the name Klebsiella pneumoniae. Its description in RNAcentral is "bacterial SSU rRNA". It matches the Rfam family "Bacterial small subunit ribosomal RNA". The record is from RNAcentral. Lineage: Bacteria; Pseudomonadati; Pseudomonadota; Gammaproteobacteria; Enterobacterales; Enterobacteriaceae.